GAGGUCGCACCAAAUCUCCCUCAUAAAUCCAACGGCAAUGUCAAAUGAAUUGAUAUAAAAAUUAAAAUCAGAUAAGCAAUGCUGUGUGUAAGAAUUGUUUGAAGGUGGUAGCCGGUUUCAACAGCACCAUUAUCUUGGCUUCGCCACCAGGAUGGACCUCCGCAAUCCGCCAGUGACGGUGGCUGAGGUGUCAGAUCCCAAAAUUGUCAUGGAAAGGAAAUGUAAGCAAAACGACUGCGUCUUACCUCAAGUUAAUAUGAGAGAACUUGAAAAAUUAAACUCCGUUGCCGGGAUCAAACCCAGGUCAUCCACGUGACAGGCAGGAAUACUCACUACUACACUACGAC
RNAcentral lists this long non-coding RNA (347 nucleotides) under Olea europaea (common olive). Its description in RNAcentral is "long non-coding RNA (OEUR_LNC010730)". Lineage: Eukaryota; Viridiplantae; Streptophyta; Magnoliopsida; Lamiales; Oleaceae. The record is from RNAcentral.